Long non-coding RNA from Crocodylus porosus (Australian saltwater crocodile), 2175 nucleotides. Ensembl annotates it as NADH:ubiquinone oxidoreductase subunit C1. Lineage: Eukaryota; Metazoa; Chordata; Crocodylia; Crocodylidae. The record is from Ensembl.
CGUGCAUAUACAUAAACACACAUACAUGCACACGCGCAGGCCGCUGAGACCCCCAUCCCCCUCACGCCCACCUUCAGCCCACUCGCAGCCCCACCCUGUGACGCAGGCCGUGGCGGGGGCGGUGCCGUGACGCAACCACGCCGUUGCGAAGCUCAUUGGCUGGGGGCGCUAGCUCCGCCCCCUGCCCCUUAGUCGCUGCAGUUCCGCCGACCUUGCUGCUGGGUCGGAGCUGCUGCUGCUGUCUGCCUUCCUACGUCCGCGUGGGUCCGUGCAGAGCCCCCGGGAGAUGCUGGCCACCCUCUUGGCCCGGGCGCCCGGCGCCCUCCGCGCGUCCGCCGCCCUCCUUGCGCGCGCACCUCUUCGCCAGAUGUCAUCCGGCAGCACUGCCGCUGGCCCUCUUCGAUGGACUUCGGUUCUCUAUGCAGCUUCCGGUAUUUUUUCCGUUGGUGGCUUAUAUUAUGCUUACCGAAUAGUCAUGUCAAGCAAAGAGAGGUAUAAUGAACGGCUUCGUUAUACUGAAGAAGCACGUGAAAGGGAGCUGAAGGCUUGGUCACAAACCAAAAGUAAUGAAGACUCAGCUGAAGUCAAUGAAGCAAAGGAGGCGGCUACAGCUGUAGCUGCAGAAGAAGUUGAAGCAGCACCCACUGAUGGGCCUACAGAACAGAAGGAGGUGGCCAUGGAAACUGAAGGAGAAAAAGAAUUGCCAGGUGCAGAUGCAUCGCUUGCUGUAGAAGCAGCACAGCAGGAAGUUGCUGCUAGCUUGGAGGCUGCCCCAAUGCAAGAAACUCCUCGUGGUGUCUUGGAUGUUGCCGCUGCUUCUGCUCUUGAGGAGAAAUUAGAGAAUAUGCAGGAAGAAAUAGACUCUUCAGCUCAAGAGAGGCCUGAUGCAUCCCCAACAAAUGAGGAACCUUUUGCUGAGGGAUCUGGGCAAGCUUCAGAAGUUUCUGCUGAAAGAAAGGCAUCUGAAGAUGUUUCUAAGGAUUCUUAAAGGGAGCAACAGAGAAGCCUUCUGAAGAGUGUCACAGGAAUAUUUAUGACAAUCAACCAGCUAAUUUAUGUUGUAAAACCUAAUGUUCUUCCCUGGAGAUGUAAAACAAACCUUACAGGUUGUCAUGCUAAAACUGCUUGUCAGAAUUAGCAUUUUUAUAUUUUCAGUAGUAUUCAUUUAUUGCAACAGGCAAUCUCAGAAGAUUUAGGUUUGCCAGAGAGAAAUAAGCUACUCUAAUGGGAAAACUUCUUUCUAAAACAGAGAUAUAGUGGGUGCACCUACAUGUUCAUUAAUGCGCUUUUGCUAAUAUGCAUUAAUUUAGUUCCUCCAUUGUGAGGUGCUAGAUAAAGGUGCAUUGGCCUAUUUUAAUGUGCAUUAGCAAAAAUACACUGAUUUUUUGUGAUGCUUUAAGGAUCAUUAGAAUAGGCUAAUGAGCAUUAAAGUGCACAUGUAGACGCACCCAGUAUAAUGUAAUACAGAACCAAGACCCAGAUAGUACAUAUCAAAUCCACUUCUCAAGAGAAAGAAUAGAUUUAAUUACCAGUACAUAUAGGUCAAGUAGGUUUUAGAAAAUUUUAAAAAUCUAAAUCUAGGAAUUUAUGUUAUUUCUACCCUUUUUCCAGGCUGUGAUGGGUGAUAACAUUGUAACAUCCCAUACUAGCAAGAUGUUGCCCCAGACAAUCAUAGCAAAAGUACAGAGAAGUUUGAAAAACACACAUAAAACCAGAAAAUGAAGCAAUAUAGUAAGGUAUUGUCAGUGAUGAUAAUUUUAAGGCUGAGCCAGAUGUAAUAUAUACAGAAUCUCUUUUAUAUAGAAAAUGUGAAUCCUUGGGUGGAACCAAUAUUUCUUCUCUAAAGCUGAUGGAGAACUUUGGAAAGAAAAUGACAGUAUUGUAAGUGACAUGUGGAAUUCUUCCUACUAGUUAUUCACAAAAAUGUAUUCACUUUUCCCCAACUCUUAAAGCAAACUGGAAUGUUGUCAAGGAGAAAAUGUAAUGUGUUUCUCAGAUUAAGAAUAACCUGUAUAAUUUUGCAGAAGCAAAUUUAGGUUCCUGAACUUUUAUAAUCCAUAUUACAGCCUUUUACUUGAAAAAUAUUGCUACUGUGAAAAAAAACCCAAACCAAAUAUCACUGCAAGCAAAGCUACCUUGAAUAAAACCUUACCGUGGAAUUUCUAUGGCUGUGAA